AGAGUUUGAUCCUGGCUCAGAUUGAACGCUGGCGGCAUGCCUUACACAUGCAAGUCGAACGGCAGCACGGGAGCAAUCCUGGUGGCGAGUGGCGAACGGGUGAGUAAUACAUCGGAACGUGUCCUGUAGUGGGGGAUAGCCCGGCGAAAGCCGGAUUAAUACCGCAUACGCUCUACGGAGGAAAGGGGGGGAUCUUAGGACCUCCCACUACAGGGGCGGCCGAUGGCAGAUUAGCUAGUUGGUGGGGUAAAGGCCUACCAAGGCGACGAUCUGUAGCUGGUCUGAGAGGACGACCAGCCACACUGGGACUGAGACACGGCCCAGACUCCUACGGGAGGCAGCAGUGGGGAAUUUUGGACAAUGGGGGAAACCCUGAUCCAGCAAUGCCGCGUGUGUGAAGAAGGCCUUCGGGUUG
Molecule: ribosomal RNA, 415 nt
Filed under: uncultured bacterium
Lineage: Bacteria
Description: bacterial SSU rRNA
Rfam family: Bacterial small subunit ribosomal RNA
Source: RNAcentral